Pongo abelii (Sumatran orangutan) is the source of this 159-nucleotide unclassified non-coding RNA. It matches the Rfam family "Metazoan signal recognition particle RNA". From Rfam's summary of the family: The signal recognition particle (SRP) is a universally conserved ribonucleoprotein. It is involved in the co-translational targeting of proteins to membranes. NCBI's taxonomy places the organism in Eukaryota, Metazoa, Chordata, Mammalia, Primates, Hominidae. The record is from Ensembl.
GCCAGGCAUAUUGGCACAUACCUGUAGUCUUGGCUCCUCGGGAGGCUGAGGCAGGAGGAUUGCUUGAGCCCAGGAGUUCGAGGCCAUAGUGCACUAUGAUCAUGCCUGUGAAUAGGCACUGCUCUCCAGCCUGGGAAACAUAGCAAGACUCUGCCUCCU